GCAAGGAUUUCCGAGCGGUCAAAGGAGCAAGGUUAAGGACCUUGUAGCGUAAGCUUUCGCCGGUUCGAAUCCGGUUCCUUGCA
RNAcentral lists this transfer RNA (83 nucleotides) under archaeon CG2_30_31_98. RNAcentral describes it as "tRNA-Leu". It matches the Rfam family "tRNA". From Rfam's summary of the family: Transfer RNA (tRNA) molecules are approximately 80 nucleotides in length. Their secondary structure includes four short double-helical elements and three loops (D, anti-codon, and T loops). RNAcentral also lists the same sequence under 2 other names. The record is from RNAcentral.